RNAcentral lists this long non-coding RNA (726 nucleotides) under Monodelphis domestica (gray short-tailed opossum). RNAcentral describes it as "lncRNA (ENSMODG00000034475.2)". Lineage: Eukaryota; Metazoa; Chordata; Mammalia; Didelphimorphia; Didelphidae. The record is from RNAcentral.
AUGGAGUAUGUGCAUAAAGAAUUGAGUUGGAGAGGGCAGCUACUUGGCUCAGUAAUCUGGUCUCAGACAUUUCCUACCUAUGUGACCCUGGACAAGUCACUUAACAUUCCCCCCCACACACACACACACACACUGCGCCCAUUGCCUUCACUUUCCUGCUCUUCUGACUUGGAGCCAAUAUACUAUUCUAAGACAGAAGAUAAAACCAAAAAGUGUCAGAUAUGCAUUUGAAACAUAACUAGAGAAGGAAGUGAAAUGUUUUUGAUUUAGAAGAGCAAGCCUCAGAAGAGAAUAACUCUAAACAGUGUCUUCAUCUGUCUUCAUUUCUUACCUCUGCAAAAAAGUUUUUGAAAACAAAAGCAGAUGCAGUAUCCUGAAGUUUCUGAAAUUCUAAACCUGGAAAGGGUCGAGGGGAUCGUUAUAGGAGAAAGAGAGGGAAGAAGAGAGGGAGAAAAAAAAUUUGUUAUUGAUCACCAAGAUUUGUUUUCUUCUCUCUACAUAUGGGUCAAAAGAAUCAACCUCACAACAAAAGAUGGUGAAGGCAUAGCUAUGCAAAAAUUAAUCUUAAGAAGAUCUCAGCUUCUUGGAGGACAGUGGAUCAAGGAGUCAGCAAUGUGUCAUGACAAAAACAAGGGAAAAAAAGAAUAUAAUGCCAUUAUAGGAUUCAUUAAGAAAGUCAGAUAUAGCCUUUCCAUAGGAGGAAAGAGGUAUCAUGAGUUGCCAUAA